This 655-nucleotide unclassified non-coding RNA is filed under the name Hevea brasiliensis (rubber tree). Lineage: Eukaryota; Viridiplantae; Streptophyta; Magnoliopsida; Malpighiales; Euphorbiaceae. The record is from RNAcentral.
GAUUUCUCUAUAUUUUUAUUAUAGGGGGAUUAAGAUUGAUGCCCUAAAUUCUACCAUACUUGGUGUUCUUUGCUCACGAGGUUCAAUCUAGAAAAAUAGAUAUUUUACUUUUUGAAAUUUUAUUUUUCCUUAGACAUAGGGUUUUGUUGCUUCUGCAUCAUUAAGCAGGUGGGUCUUUUGCUUUCAAUGUCCUUUUAUCAUCUUUAUCAUAAUUUUUCCCCAUUAUAUGGAUUAUGAGAGUGAUCAGAUCUUGCAAAGAAAAAAUUGGUGACUUAAAGGUUUACAGGUUCAAAAUUGCUAUCAUUUUGUCUUAUGGUUAAAAGGGACAAAUGUUUCCAACAAUUGCCAGUUAAAUAAGUAAAAAGAAUGGCACCUUCAAGUAUAAUUGAAGAAGAAAUAGACGAAGCAAUUAUAAAACAAAACAUGUAAAAAUCAAUCACUACAAGAAAAUGUAAUCAAUUACUAAAGAAAUGCUUAAAGCUUGUGGGAUAUUACUUCUUGUUCAUUAAUAUAUAGAUACCUGGAGUAGGAUUUAAUAUCAAUGCUUUAAAUAUUAUAUGAGAGACAUUUAUAUAUAGGUACUUGAGUCUUCUGUUUGUAAAUUACUUUUCUCGACGAGAUUUUGUAAGGAAUGAAUCGUUAGAUUGGGCUGAUG